AGUGAACGCUGGCGGUAGGCCUAACACAUGCAAGUCGAACGGCAGCACAGAGGAGCUUGCUCCUUGGGUGGCGAGUGGCGGACGGGUGAGGAAUACAUCGGAAUCUACUCUGUCGUGGGGGAUAACGUAGGGAAACUUACGCUAAUACCGCAUACGACCUACGGGUGAAAGCAGGGGAGCUUCGGGCCUUGCGCGAUUGAAUGAGCCGAUGUCGGAUUAGCUAGGUGGCGGGGUAAAGGCCCACCAAGGCGACGAUCCGUAGCUGGUCUGAGAGGAUGAUCAGCCACACUGGAACGGGGACACGGUCCAGACUCCUACGGGAGGCAGCAGUGGGGAAUAUUGGACAAUGGGCGCAAGCCUGAUCCAGCCAUACCGCGUGGGUGAAGAAGGCCUUCGGGUUGUAAAGCCCUUUUGUUGGGAAAGAAAUCCAGCUGGCUAAUACCCGGUUGGGAUGACGGUACCCAAAGAAUAAGCACCGGCUAACUUCGUGCCAGCCGCCGCAGUAA
Molecule: ribosomal RNA, 506 nt
Filed under: uncultured bacterium
Lineage: Bacteria
Description: partial 16S ribosomal RNA
Rfam family: Bacterial small subunit ribosomal RNA
Source: RNAcentral